GAGUUUGAUCCUGGCUCAGAACGAACGCUGGCGGCGUGGCUAAGACAUGCAAGUCGAACGGACCGGCCCAAUGAGUAAUCAGAAGGCCGGUUAGUGGCGAAAGGGUGCGGAAUGGAUAGCUAACGUACCCCGUGCUUCGGGAUAGCGUCAGGAGCUUCGGCUCCUUUCCGAAAGGGGCGGUAAUACCGGAUAAUGUCAUAGACCGACAGGACUAUGACCAAAGAUUCAUCGGCGCGGGAGCGGCCUAUCUCCUAUCAGCUUGUUGGUGAGGUAAUGGCUCACCAAGGCGAUGACGGGUAGCGGAACUGAGAGGUUGUUCCGCCUCAUCGGGACUGAGACACUGCCCGGACCUCCACGGAGGGCUGCAGUAACGAAUAUUGCGCAAUGGGCGAAAGCCUGACGCAGCGACGCCGCGUGUAGGAGGAAGUCCCUCGGGAUGUAAACUACUGUCAGGGGGAAGAAAGUCCGCCUCGGCGGAUUGAUCUAACCCAGAGGAAGUCACGGCUAACUUCGUGCCAGCAGCCGCGGUAAGACGAAGGUGGCAAGCGUUGUUCGGUAUUACUGGGCUUAAAGCGUGUGUAGGCGGAAUGGUAAGCGUCUUGUGAAAUCCCUCGGCUUAACCGAGGAAUUGCUUGGCGUACUGCCCUUCUUGAGGCAGGUAAGGGUGCACGGAACUCUUGGUGGAGCGGUGGAAUGCGUAGAUAUCAAGAGGAACGCCGGUGGAGAAGUCGGUGCACUGGGCCUGUUAUGGGUCCCCAAUUCCGAUUCGUCGGAAUCGGGCUCCCCCUGACGCUGAGACACGAAAGCGUGGGGAGCGAACGGGAUUAGAUACCCCGGUAGUCCACGCCGUAAACGAUGUCUACUAGGUUGCGGAGGUUCUGACGCCGUCGCGACCGAAGCAAAAGUGUUAAGUAGACCGCCUGGGGAGUACGGCCGCAAGGCUAAAACUCAAAGGAAUUGACGGGGGCUCACACAAGCGGUGGAGCAUGUGGAUUAAUUCGAAGCAACGCGUAGAACCUUACCUGGGUUUGACAUGCUUGGAUGCCAAUCUGGAAACAGAGGAAGCUGCCUUCGGGUGAAACUUGCACAGGUGCCGCAUGGCUGUCGUCAGCUCGUGUCGUGAGAUGUCGGGUUAAGUCCUUUAACGAGCGA
This 1152-nucleotide ribosomal RNA is filed under the name uncultured bacterium. Its description in RNAcentral is "bacterial SSU rRNA". It matches the Rfam family "Bacterial small subunit ribosomal RNA", at positions 9 to 1099 of the family's 1533-position model. The record is from RNAcentral.